RNAcentral lists this ribosomal RNA (256 nucleotides) under uncultured bacterium. RNAcentral's name for it is "partial 16S ribosomal RNA". It matches the Rfam family "Bacterial small subunit ribosomal RNA", at positions 524 to 776 of the family's 1533-position model. The record is from RNAcentral.
UACAGAGGGGGCAAGCGUUGUUCGGAAUUACUGGGCGUAAAGGGCGCGUAAGGCGGCCUUCUAAGUCGAACGUGAAAUCCCCGGGCUCAACCCGGGAACUGCGUCCGAUACUGGAAGGCUUGAAUCCGGGAGAGGGAUGCGGAAUUCCAGGUGUAGCGGUGAAAUGCGUAGAUAUCUGGAGGAACACCGGUGGCGAAGGCGGCAUCCUGGGACCGGCAUUGACGCUGACGGCGCGAAAGCCAGGGGAGCAAGCGGG